GGAUGUGGGGGCGAUCUGGCUGCCCAUUGAUCGCCAGGGUUGAUUCGGCUGAUCUGGCUGGCUAGGCGGGUGUCCCCUUCCUCCCUCACCGCUCUAUGUGCGUCCCUCCCGAAGCUGCGCAUUAGGUCGAAGAGGACGGGCCUCUUCACUCAAGGGUAUAUGAGUAGCUGUGUUCCCCUGCUAGAACCUCCAAACAAGCUCUCAAGUUCCGCUGUAGAACGCAGGGUGGUCAAGCUUCCAAGACUCCAGACACAUCCACAUGAGGCGCUGCACAUGGCAGUCUGCCUUUCUU
This 292-nucleotide small nuclear RNA is filed under the name Felis catus (domestic cat). RNAcentral describes it as "7SK RNA". It matches the Rfam family "7SK RNA". From Rfam's summary of the family: 7SK was discovered as an abundant small nuclear RNA in the mid-70s but a possible function has only recently been suggested. Lineage: Eukaryota; Metazoa; Chordata; Mammalia; Carnivora; Felidae. The record is from Rfam by way of RNAcentral.